UGACCGCUGGCGGCGUGCCUAAUACAUGCAAGUCGAGCGAACAGACGAGGAGCUUGCUCCUUUGACGUUAGCGGCGGACGGGUGAGUAACACGUAGGUAACCUACCUAUAAGACUGGGAUAACUUCGGGAAACCGGAGCUAAUACCGGAUAAUAUUUCGAACCGCAUGGUUCGAUAGUGAAAGAUGGCUUUGCUAUCACUUAUAGAUGGACCUGCGCCGUAUUAGCUAGUUGGUAAGGUAACGGCUUACCAAGGCAACGAUACGUAGCCGACCUGAGAGGGUGAUCGGCCACACUGGAACUGAGACACGGUCCAGACUCCUACGGGAGGCAGCAGUAGGGAAUCUUCCGCAAUGGGCGAAAGCCUGACGGAGCAACGCCGCGUGAGUGAUGAAGGUCUUCGGAUCGUAAAACUCUGUUAUUAGGGAAGAACAAACGUGUAAGUAACUGUGCACGUCUUGACGGUACCUAAUCAGAAAGCCACGGCUAACUACGUG
RNAcentral lists this ribosomal RNA (495 nucleotides) under uncultured bacterium. Its description in RNAcentral is "partial 16S ribosomal RNA". It matches the Rfam family "Bacterial small subunit ribosomal RNA", at positions 30 to 507 of the family's 1533-position model. The record is from RNAcentral.